Molecule: long non-coding RNA, 1802 nt
Filed under: Sinocyclocheilus grahami
Lineage: Eukaryota; Metazoa; Chordata; Actinopteri; Cypriniformes; Cyprinidae
Description: lncRNA (ENSSGRG00000013755.1)
Source: RNAcentral
AAGAAAGUCACACAGGUUUGGAAUGACAUGAAGGUGAGUAGAUGAUGGCUGAAUUUUCAUUUUUGGAUGAACUACUAAUGUCUCUAGUCAUGGUUGGUUAAGCUUCAGUUUAGAUCUAAAUAUUUGCCUUAUUUUUUUCAGAAACAGUCAUGAAUGCUGAUAAUGUUGUGCGGCUGUUCAUACUGGUUUGGACUUUCACAGCUGUCUGUCAAGCUGAUGAAGAAGUCAUUGUAAGCUGUGAGAAUGUGACUGGAUCUGUGGGGAAAGAAGUAUCUCUCACCUGCAGCGUCUCUGUGCUGUUCACUAAUUGCUGCAUUGUGAGGUAUAAGUUUCAAUACCCUGAGAGCAUUAAUGACUCCGUAAUCUGUCGUCAAGACUUUCCUAAUGACCCCUGUGAACUGAAGAACAGCUUCACAUGCCGCUACACUCCAACUACUGCAAUGACAGAACAAUUCAGAUUCGGUGUGCAAACAACGUGUGGAUACCGCAAAUCAAAAUUCACUGUGGACACAUCAGAACGUAUGAACCCAGAAAACCCAUCAGGAUCCUCUCCACCAGAGACAGCAGCAGGAUCCAAGGAUACUGUCACCUCUGUGCUUGUGAGUGGUUUCAUCAUCAUCAUCAUCAUCCUCAUCAUCAUGAUGGCGAUCAUUUGCAAAACAAAACCAAACUUCACCAAACUUUGUAGAUGCCAGAACUGGAUGUUUUUGAGUGUCAGACGUGAUGAGGACAACAAUCGUCCAGAAAAUGAGCUAUAAUAGCAUUGAGUUUUGUUCAUUGUGACUUUACAUGUGGUGCUCAGGAAACACACAAGCUUUAUUUGAACUCUACACUAUUCUACAUCUUAUAUCUCAAACUACUAAAUAUAUAACUCUGGCUGUAGGUUUUUAAAACUCUUGUGUCUGUUUUAUAUUGAUUUCUGUGAAAUAACAGCAUAUUAUUGAUCUGUUUGAUCAGUGUAUAUAACUUUAAUGAACUCAAACCUUUGUGAACUUUAAGAGGAAGCACAGCGAAACUCAAACUGUGUCUUUUUGCUGACUUUCAAGGCAUGUCUAUUAUGAAUGUCAUUUUUAUACAGUAUAUUAUAUAGUAGUGUGAACAGUGUGGUUUUGUACAGUAUCUUAUUUUUUUAAAAAGGGACACUGAACGUUUUCACCAAAAGCAAGGCGAAAGAACUGAAAGGCACAAACUACGGACUAAAUGAUCAGUUUCCACGUGAAAUAAACGAACGUCGCAAAAUCCUCUUCCCCAUCAUGAAAAGACAUAGACAGAACAAUGAACGUGCAAAUAUGAUUGUGGACAAACUCUACAUCGAAGGACAACUCUACCGUGACUCCAGCAUCACCCCAUGGCUCUUCUAACUCAGUGUUGUUCAAAGAGUGUAUAUCAUGAUUUAUCAGCUGAGGCUUUUACACCUGGAAUUCCUGUCAACAUGAUACCAAGGGUUUGAGCCCAGCCCAGGCAAACAAUUGGAAAAAGAUGGGUGAGACUGUGACAGACACCCUAAUGCAACAUGGAACACCUCGAUCGAGGCUCAACAGCGGAUGCUUAUAUUGUUUAUGAUGGAAAAUUAUUCAACAGACUGCAUUCAUAUUUUGACACGUGGUAUAACGAAUCAAGGUGCAUUUAGAGCUGAUGCAAUCCAUUAAAAACCUGUUUACCUUUGAUGAAGGAGAGUUUUAAGUGUAUGGAUAAGUGUAUAUCCAAUUCAUUUUUAUUUAUAGGCUAUAUCACUUCUUACGAUACGUGUUGUUCAAAACUAGUUUUACUAAUAAAAAAAAAAAGUUCCUUACAAAGAAGAA